CGGGGUGAGUAACGCGUGGAUAACCUGCCUUACACUGGGGGAUAACACUUAGAAAUAGGUGCUAAUACCGCAUAAGCGCACAGAGCCGCAUGGCUCAGUGUGAAAAACUCCGGUGGUGUAAGAUGGAUCCGCGUCUGAUUAGCUGGUUGGCGGGGUAAAGGCCCACCAAGGCGACGAUCAGUAGCCGGCCUGAGAGGGUGAACGGCCACAUUGGGACUGAGACACGGCCCAAGCUCCUACGGAAGGCAGCAG
Molecule: ribosomal RNA, 252 nt
Filed under: uncultured bacterium
Lineage: Bacteria
Description: partial 16S ribosomal RNA
Rfam family: Bacterial small subunit ribosomal RNA
Source: RNAcentral